GCGGACCAUGAAUAGUCCCCAUUAUACCAACAUGAGGAGGCAGAAUAAACCCACACACUCUUGU
RNAcentral lists this transfer RNA (64 nucleotides) under Crocodylus palustris (marsh crocodile). RNAcentral describes it as "partial tRNA-Thr". The record is from RNAcentral. Lineage: Eukaryota; Metazoa; Chordata; Crocodylia; Crocodylidae.